ACUCCGGCCCCAACAGCUAUUUCUUGCCUACCUCCUCCCAGAAUAUAGGGGUUCUGCACCUCCGCCCAUAUAGAGCUUCGAAUGGUGUCAUUUGAAUAGCCUCAUAA
Molecule: long non-coding RNA, 107 nt
Organism: Cucurbita moschata (crookneck pumpkin)
Lineage: Eukaryota; Viridiplantae; Streptophyta; Magnoliopsida; Cucurbitales; Cucurbitaceae
Exons: 3
Source: RefSeq, a predicted model, not a curated record